Molecule: ribosomal RNA, 1391 nt
Filed under: Yersinia pestis biovar Orientalis str. India 195
Lineage: Bacteria; Pseudomonadati; Pseudomonadota; Gammaproteobacteria; Enterobacterales; Yersiniaceae
Description: bacterial LSU rRNA
Rfam family: Bacterial large subunit ribosomal RNA
Source: RNAcentral
AGGCGUGAUGACGAUGCACCACGGUGCAGAAGCAGUUGAUGCCAUGCUUCCAGGAAAAGCCUCUAAGCAUCAGGUAACAUUAAAUCGUACCCCAAACCGACACAGGUGGUCAGGUAGAGAAUACUCAGGCGCUUGAGAGAACUCGGGUGAAGGAACUAGGCAAAAUGGUGCCGUAACUUCGGGAGAAGGCACGCUGGCGUUAGGUGAAAGGACUAGCUCCUGGAGCUGAAGCCAGUCGCAGAUACCAGCUGGCUGCAACUGUUUAAUAAAAACACAGCACUGUGCAAACACGAAAGUGGACGUAUACGGUGUGACGCCUGCCCGGUGCUGGAAGGUUAAUUGAUGGGGUCAGCCGCAAGGCGAAGCUCUUGAUCGAAGCCCCAGUAAACGGCGGCCGUAACUAUAACGGUCCUAAGGUAGCGAAAUUCCUUGUCGGGUAAGUUCCGACCUGCACGAAUGGCGUAAUGAUGGCCAGGCUGUCUCCACCCGAGACUCAGUGAAAUUGAACUCGCUGUGAAGAUGCAGUGUACCCGCGGCAAGACGGAAAGACCCCGUGAACCUUUACUAUAGCUUGACACUGAACAUUGAGCCUUGAUGUGUAGGAUAGGUGGGAGGCCUUGAAGUGUGGACGCCAGUCUGCAUGGAGCCAACCUUGAAAUACCACCCUUUAAUGUUUGAUGUUCUAACUCGGCCCCAUGAUCUGGGGUGAGGACAGUGUCUGGUGGGUAGUUUGACUGGGGCGGUCUCCUCCCAAAGAGUAACGGAGGAGCACGAAGGUUAGCUAAUCACGGUCGGACAUCGUGAGGUUAGUGCAAAGGCAUAAGCUAGCUUGACUGCGAGAGUGACGGCUCGAGCAGGUACGAAAGUAGGUCUUAGUGAUCCGGUGGUUCUGAAUGGAAGGGCCAUCGCUCAACGGAUAAAAGGUACUCCGGGGAUAACAGGCUGAUACCGCCCAAGAGUUCAUAUCGACGGCGGUGUUUGGCACCUCGAUGUCGGCUCAUCACAUCCUGGGGCUGAAGUAGGUCCCAAGGGUAUGGCUGUUCGCCAUUUAAAGUGGUACGCGAGCUGGGUUUAGAACGUCGUGAGACAGUUCGGUCCCUAUCUGCCGUGGGCGUUGGAAGAUUGAGAGGGGCUGCUCCUAGUACGAGAGGACCGGAGUGGACGAAUCACUGGUGUUCGGGUUGUCAUGCCAAUGGCAUUGCCCGGUAGCUAAAUUCGGAAGAGAUAACCGCUGAAAGCAUCUAAGCGGGAAACUUGCCUCGAGAUGAGUCUUCCCUGGGGCUUAAAGCCCCCUGAAGGAACGUUAAAGACUAUGACGUUGAUAGGCUGGGUGUGUAAGUGCAGCGAUGUAUUGAGCUAACCAGUACUAAUGAUCCGUGAGGCUUAACCUU